Molecule: ribosomal RNA, 253 nt
Filed under: uncultured bacterium
Lineage: Bacteria
Description: partial 16S ribosomal RNA
Rfam family: Bacterial small subunit ribosomal RNA
Source: RNAcentral
AACGUAGGGGGCGAGCGUUAUCCGGAAUCACUGGGCGUAAAGGGCGUCUAGGUGGCCCGUCAAGUCUUGCGUGAAAUCUCCUGGCUCAACUAGGAGAGUGCGUGGGAAACUAGCGAGCUAGAGACGUGGAGGGGUGCACGGAAUUCCCGGUGGAGUGGUGGAAUGCGUUGAGAUCGGGAGGAACACCAGAAGCGAAGGCGGUGCACUGGCCACGGACUGACGCUGAAGCGCGACAGCGUGGGGAGCGAACGGG